UAGGGAAUCUUCGGCAAUGGACGAAAGUCUGACCGAGCAACGCCGCGUGAGUGAAGAAGGUUUUCGGAUCGUAAAACUCUGUUGUUAGAGAAGAACAAGGACGUUAGUAACUGAACGUCCCCUGACGGUAUCUAACCAGAAAGCCACGGCUAACUACGUGCCAGCAGCCGCGGUAAUACGUAGGUGGCAAGCGUUGUCCGGAUUUAUUGGGCGUAAAGCGAGCGCAGGCGGUUUCUUAAGUCUGAUGUGAAAGCCCCCGGCACAACCGAGGAGGGUCAUUGGAAGCUGGGAGACUUGAGUGCAGAAGAGGAGGGUAGAAUUCCAUGUGUAGCGGUGAAAGGCGUAGAUAUAUGGAGGAACACCAGUGGCGAAGGCGGCUCUCUGGUCUGUAACUGACGCUGAGGCUCGAAAGCGUGGGGAGCAAACAGG
Molecule: ribosomal RNA, 429 nt
Filed under: Gemmatimonadota bacterium
Lineage: Bacteria; Pseudomonadati; Gemmatimonadota
Description: Gemmatimonadetes bacterium partial 16S ribosomal RNA
Rfam family: Bacterial small subunit ribosomal RNA
Source: RNAcentral